Molecule: long non-coding RNA, 2189 nt
Filed under: Fragaria vesca (wild strawberry)
Lineage: Eukaryota; Viridiplantae; Streptophyta; Magnoliopsida; Rosales; Rosaceae
Description: long non-coding RNA (FVES_LNC000149)
Source: RNAcentral
UAACAUGCCAACCUUGCCUAAAAUCUAGCCAUACUACCACUCAACAAGCUCACAGCAACAAAGACUAGCUAACCACAGGAAGCUAAGGCCGCAACUCAGCCGGACGCGCCGCCACACGCCGCCACAAGCGGCGGCGAGUGGGCCCCACGCGCCACCCCAAACUUCCGAAUUAGGAGAAACUCCCAACAGCAAAGUUAAAGCUUGAAGCAAGGGGAACAACUUUCAUACCUGUGACUUCGACCAAUUUUGGCCGGAACUGGCCGGAAACUUCCCCGAACAGUGACCAGAAAAUCACUCUACAAAACCGGCCUCAAAACCUCAAAAACUUGCUUCAACUAUGCCUAGACACUGCUAGGAGGAAGAGGGGAUCAAGACUCACCUAAACUUGGCCGGAAACGGCGUCGAAAUCGCCGGUUUUCCGGCGGGACAGCAGCAGCUCCGCCGCUUCGUGGUGGCUUCCAAGCGGCGGGACAGCCGGCGGGACUGCUCCAGAAAUGGAGAGGGCUGCUGUGGGAGUCGAAUGGGACCGGUGGCGUCCGGUUUGGUGGCCGGAGGAGGAAGAACUCGGCUGAAGAAAGUGAAGGCUCAGGGAGCUCGGGUGGGAGGAGAGAGAGAGGAGGGAAACUGAUUUUUAGGGUUCUAAUUAAUCCCACACACAAUUUUUCUACUUAUACUCUUUUCAAACCCGAAAACAAACUUCCUCUGAACAUAACUUCUUCAUACGACAUCCGUUUUAGACGUGCCGCAUGUCUACGAACUCGUAUCGACAAGCUCUACAACUUUCAUGAAGGAAGUUUUCGAAGAUAACUUACGAAAAAUAAAGUCAACUUUUGGCCUAUUAAAAGUCAAGGCAACUUUAAAUAAACUCCCGAACUUCAACUUCGCAUAAACCCAAGAAUUUUCAUGAAUAAUCCUUCAUUAAAAUAAGGGAAUAAAACAAGAAAAAAUAGAUAUGAAAAUCUAGGAUAUUACAAUCUACCCCCCUUAAAGGAAUUUCGCCCCGAAAUUCAAAGAUACUAACCCAAAAACAACUUGGGGUACUUAGCCCUCAUAUCCGACUCUAACUCCCAAGAUGCAUCACCCUCAUCAUGGUGACUCCAACACACCUUAACCAAAUCGACCUCCUUCCUUCGAAGCCUCUUGGUUGAUCUAUCCAAGAUUCGAACCGGUUCAACAACAAAGGUUGCAUCCGCAUUCACCUUGAUAGAACUAUAAUCAAUCACAUGAGAUGCAUCCGGAACAUACUUCCUCAAUAAGGACACAUGAAACACAUUGUGUACCCCGGACAUGGUAGGAGGUAAGGCAAGCCGAUAAGCCAAAUCUCCUACUUUCUCUAAAAUCUCAAAAGGCCCCACAUACCUAGGAGCCAACUUCCCCUUCUUGCCAAAUCUCACCACCCCUUUAGUAGGUGAGACUUUCAAGAACACAUGAUCCCCAACAUCAAACUCUACUUGCCUCCUCUUCAAGUCGGCAUAGCUCUUUUGCCUGCUUUGCGCCGUUCGGAUCCUAUCUCGGAUAAUAGAGACCUUCUCAGUCGUCUCUUGAACAAUAUCAGGACCCAACAGCUCACUAUCACCCACCUCCGCCCAACAAAUAGGUGAUCUACACGGCCUCCCAUAGAGUGCCUCAGAAGGUGCCAUGCCGAUACUAGAGUGAUAGUUAUUAUUGUAGGCAAACUCAAUCAAUUGGAGGUGAUCCUCCCAACUUCCCUUGAAGUCCAUGACACAAGCCCUCAGCAUAUCUACUCCAGAAAUGGAGAAGGCUGCUGUGGGAGUCGAAUGGGACCGGUGGCGUCCGGUUUGGUGGCCGGAGGAGGAAGAACUCGGCUGAAGAAAGUGAAGGCUCGGGGAGCUCGGGUGGGAGGAGAGAGAGAGGAGGGAAACUGAUUUUUAGGGUUCUAAUUAAUCUCACACACAAUAUUUCUACUUAUACUCUUUUCAAACCCGAAAACAAACUUCCUCUGAACAUAACUUCUUCAUACGACAUCCGUUUUAGACGUGCCAUAUGUCUACGAACUCGUAUCGACAAGCUCUACAACUUUCAUGAAGGACGUUUUCGAAGAUAACUUACGGAAAAUAAAGUCAACUUUUGGCCUAUUAAAAGUCAAGGCAACUAUUAAAAGUCAAGGCAACUUUAAAUAAACUCCCGAACUUCAACUUCGCAUAAACCCAAGAAUUUUCAUGAAUAAU